UCCACAUCACUACAGUCUCUUACGCUUUCAGGUAAUUUAAGUCCGUUCUCAACCGAAAUCUCUCUCUCUCUCUCUCUUAUUUUUUGUUUUCUUCUCAGAUCUUUCUCCUUCUCUUGCUAAAUGCUGGCUGAUAUAAGUCUUCUUUGCUCUCGAUUUGAGCUGUGUCUUUGUCUUGUUGGAGCUUUGCUGUUCAUGGGUAAAGGCCUAUUUUGGCUAAUUCUUCUUCAAAUGGUAGAUUGCCCUACUUGAUUUAGCUUAGCUUUGGUUGUACUGCCUGUUUUCCUCUUUCCUUUUUUCUUUAUUUGCUUACUGAAAAAAUAUCGCCAAAAGAAAUUCCCCAAAUUGUAAUGCUCCAUAAAAUUGGAGUUCUCCUGUCUUUUAAGCUUCAAAUGUCUACUUGUCUGCAUAGAUCUCCUCUCGUUAAUGUGGUUUUAGUCAAAAUGCUGAUGUGGGUAUAGCCUGUCCUUUUGGUUUACUAAUUUCGACUAUGAGUUUUGUUUCUUUGGAUGCUAGGUGUCUGCAAAUGCUGCCUUUGUGUCAUGUUUUUCUUAAAUUAAAUGAUGUUUCAUUUCAUAUUUUCUUGGUGCAGCGUUAAGAGUUUCCUUUCUUUGUGUUUGCGUGGUUCACGGGAAACCGCAGUAAAAAGAAAAUGGCUUUAGUGAUCUCAGAUCUUUCUUUUUUUCUCAUUCUGUUUGAAACAGUGAUCUGGGUAUGCUUCUGUGUUUAUCUUAGGCGAUAAAUUCUUGUUCUAAGAGUGGUAGACUGUUCGCAAACGGUGUGGUUCGACCUUUUCUCGAGGCGGGAGAUGACGAUAUUCUUAGAGAGAGUGGUAAUUAUAGAUCGCAUCCAGUUAACCAUUGACUCGUGUGAUGCAGCAGAAGAUAU
Molecule: long non-coding RNA, 885 nt
Filed under: Carica papaya (papaya)
Lineage: Eukaryota; Viridiplantae; Streptophyta; Magnoliopsida; Brassicales; Caricaceae
Description: long non-coding RNA (CPAP_LNC005306)
Source: RNAcentral